AAUCCAUAGGUUAAUGAGGCGAACCGGGGGAACUGAAACAUCUAAGUACCCCGAGGAAAAGAAAUCAACCGAGAUUCCCCCAGUAGCGGCGAGCGAACGGGGAGGAGCCCAGAGCCUGAAUCAGCAUGUGUGUUAGUGGAAGCGUCUGGAAAGGCGCGCGAUACAGGGUGACAGCCCCGUACACAAAAGCGCAUGUGCUGUGAGCUCGAUGAGUAGGGCGGGACACGUGGUAUCCUGUCUGAAUAUGGGGGGACCAUCCUCCAAGGCUAAAUACUCCUGACUGACCGAUAGUGAACCAGUACCGUGAGGGAAAGGCGAAAAGAACCCCGGCGAGGGGAGUGAAAAAGAACCUGAAACCGUGUACGUACAAGCAGUGGGAGCCCCACCACCAAAGCAUUUGCUGUACCGCGUUGACGGAGCGAAGCGACGUCAAACCGAUAAAACAGCAGUGUAAAGUGAGCCGCAGGGCGCUUUGCGCGACAGCGCAAAGGCAGGCGGUUUCGCGUAGCGAAAGCGAAUGCUUUGGGGUGGGGUGACUGCGUACCUUUUGUAUAAUGGGUCAGCGACUUAUAUUCUGUAGCAAGGUUAACCGAAUAGGGGAGCCGUAGGGAAACCGAGUCUUAACCGGGCGUUAAGUUGCAGGGUAUAGACCCGAAACCCGGUGAUCUAGCCAUGGGCAGGUUGAAGGUUGGGUAACACUAACUGGAGGACCGAACCGACUAAUGUUGAAAAAUUAGCGGAUGACCUGUGGCUGGGGGUGAAAGGCCAAUCAAACCGGGAGAUAGCUGGUUCUCCCCGAAAGCUAUUUAGGUAGCGCCUCGUGAAUUCAUCUCCGGGGGUAGAGCACUGUUUCGGCUAGGGGGCCAUCCCGGCUUACCAACCCGAUGCAAACUGCGAAUACCGGAGAAUGUUAUCACGGGAGACACACGGCGGGUGCUAACGUCCGUCGUGAAGAGGGAAACAACCCAGACCGCCAGCUAAGGUCCCAAAGUCAUGGUUAAGUGGGAAACGAUGUGGGAAGGCCCAGACAGCCAGGAUGUUGGCUUAGAAGCAGCCAUCAUUUAAAGAAAGCGUAAUAGCUCACUGGUCGAGUCGGCCUGCGCGGAAGAUGUAACGGGGCUAAACCAU
Molecule: ribosomal RNA, 1128 nt
Filed under: Salmonella enterica subsp. enterica
Lineage: Bacteria; Pseudomonadati; Pseudomonadota; Gammaproteobacteria; Enterobacterales; Enterobacteriaceae
Also listed under: 3 other names
Description: partial 23S ribosomal RNA
Rfam family: Bacterial large subunit ribosomal RNA
Source: RNAcentral